AAUAGGGUGCCCGAUUAUAAGGGUUAUUUUGAUAGGAUAAUUAUGGUCUUAAAGGCCCUCUAUUU
RNAcentral lists this transfer RNA (65 nucleotides) under Falcolipeurus quadripustulatus. RNAcentral describes it as "tRNA-Ile". The record is from RNAcentral. Lineage: Eukaryota; Metazoa; Arthropoda; Insecta; Psocodea; Philopteridae.